ACUAAGCGUACACGGUGGAUGCCCUGGCAGUCAGAGGCGAUGAAGGACGUGCUAAUCUGCGAAAAGCGCCGGCGAGGUGAUAUGAACCUUUGACCCGGCGAUGUCCGAAUGGGGAAACCCAGUGUGAUUCGUCACACUAUCGUUAACUGAAUACAUAGGUUAACGAGGCGAACCGGGGGAACUGAAACAUCUAAGUACCCCGAGGAAAAGAAAUCAACCGAGAUUCCCCCAGUAGCGGCGAGCGAACGGGGAGCAGCCCGGAGUCUGAAUCAGCUUGUGUGUUAGUGGAACGGUCUGGAAAGUCCGACGGUACAGGGUGAUAGUCCCGUACACGAAAAUGCACAGGUUGUGAACUCGAAGAGUAGGGCGGGACACGUGGUAUCCUGUCUGAAUAUGGGGGGACCAUCCUCCAAGGCUAAAUACUCCUGACUGACCGAUAGUGAACCAGUACCGUGAGGGAAAGGCGAAAAGAACCCCGGCGAGGGGAGUGAAAAAGAACCUGAAACCGUGUACGUACAAGCAGUGGGAGCCUACUUGUUAGGUGACUGCGUACCUUUUGUAUAAUGGGUCAGCGACUUAUAUUCUGUAGCAAGGUUAACCGUAUAGGGGAGCCGAAGGGAAACCGAGUCUUAACUGGGCGUUAAGUUGCAGGGUAUAGACCCGAAACCCGGUGAUCUAGCCAUGGGCAGGUUGAAGGUUGGGUAACACUAACUGGAGGACCGAACCGACUAAUGUUGAAAAAUUAGCGGAUGACCUGUGGCUGGGGGUGAAAGGCCAAUCAAACCGGGAGAUAGCUGGUUCUCCCCGAAAGCUAUUUAGGUAGCGCCUCGUGAAUUCAUCUUCGGGGGUAGAGCACUGUUUCGGCUAGGGGGCCAUCCCGGCUUACCAACCCGAUGCAAACUACGAAUACCGAAGAAUGUUAUCACGGGAGACACACGGCGGGUGCUAACGUCCGUCGUGAAGAGGGAAACAACCCAGACCGCCAGCUAAGGUCCCAAAGUCAUGGUUAAGUGGGAAACGAUGUGGGAAGGCACAGACAGCCAGGAUGUUGGCUUAGAAGCAGCCAUCAUUUAAAGAAAGCGUAAUAGCUCACUGGUCGAGUCGGCCUGCGCGGAAGAUGUAACGGGGCUAAACCAUGCACCGAAGCUGCGGCAGCGACACUAUGUGUUGUUGGGUAGGGGAGCGUUCUGUAAGCCGUUGAAGGUGGCCUGUGAGGGUUGCUGGAGGUAUCAGAAGUGCGAAUGCUGACAUAAGUAACGAUAAAGCGGGUGAAAAGCCCGCUCGCCGGAAGACCAAGGGUUCCUGUCCAACGUUAAUCGGGGCAGGGUGAGUCGACCCCUAAGGCGAGGCCGAAAGGCGUAGUCGAUGGGAAACAGGUUAAUAUUCCUGUACUUGGUGUUACUGCGAAGGGGGGACGGAGAAGGCUAUGUUAGCCGGGCGACGGUUGUCCCGGUUUAAGCAUGUAGGCGGAGGUUCCAGGUAAAUCCGGUACCUUUUAACGCUGAGGUGUGAUGACGAGGCACUACGGUGCUGAAGUAACAAAUGCCCUGCUUCCAGGAAAAGCCUCUAAGCAUCAGGUAACACGAAAUCGUACCCCAAACCGACACAGGUGGUCAGGUAGAGAAUACCAAGGCGCUUGAGAGAACUCGGGUGAAGGAACUAGGCAAAAUGGUGCCGUAACUUCGGGAGAAGGCACGCUGAUAUGUAGGUGAAGCCCCUGCGGGUGGAGCUGAAAUCAGUCGAAGAUACCAGCUGGCUGCAACUGUUUAUUAAAAACACAGCACUGUGCAAACACGAAAGUGGACGUAUACGGUGUGACGCCUGCCCGGUGCCGGAAGGUUAAUUGAUGGGGUUAGCGGUAACGCGAAGCUCUUGAUCGAAGCCCCGGUAAACGGCGGCCGUAACUAUAACGGUCCUAAGGUAGCGAAAUUCCUUGUCGGGUAAGUUCCGACCUGCACGAAUGGCGUAAUGAUGGCCAGGCUGUCUCCACCCGAGACUCAGUGAAAUUGAACUCGCUGUGAAGAUGCAGUGUACCCGCGGCAAGACGGAAAGACCCCGUGAACCUUUACUAUAGCUUGACACUGAACACUGGUCCUUGAUGUGUAGGAUAGGUGGGAGGCUUUGAAGCGUGGACGCCAGUCUGCGUGGAGCCGACCUUGAAAUACCACCCUUUAAUGGCUGGUGUUCUAACGUAGACCCGUAAUCCGGGUUGCGGACAGUGUCUGGUGGGUAGUUUGACUGGGGCGGUCUCCUCCCAAAGAGUAACGGAGGAGCACGAAGGUUAGCUAAUCCUGGUCGGACAUCAGGAGGUUAGUGCAAUGGCAUAAGCUAGCUUGACUGCGAGAGUGACGGCUCGAGCAGGUGCGAAAGCAGGUCAUAGUGAUCCGGUGGUUCUGAAUGGAAGGGCCAUCGCUCAACGGAUAAAAGGUACUCCGGGGAUAACAGGCUGAUACCGCCCAAGAGUUCAUAUCGACGGCGGUGUUUGGCACCUCGAUGUCGGCUCAUCACAUCCUGGGGCUGAAGUAGGUCCCAAGGGUAUGGCUGUUCGCCAUUUAAAGUGGUACGCGAGCUGGGUUUAGAACGUCGUGAGACAGUUCGGUCCCUAUCUGCCGUGGGCGCUGGAGAAUUGAGGGGGGCUGCUCCUAGUACGAGAGGACCGGAGUGGACGCAUCACUGGUGUUCGGGUUGUCAUGCCAAUGGCACUGCCCGGUAGCUAAAUGCGGAAGAGAUAAGUGCUGAAAGCAUCUAAGCACGAAACUUGCCCCGAGAUGAGUUCUCCCUGAGACUUUAAGUCUCCUGAAGGAACGUUGAAGACGACGACGUUGAUAGGUCGGGUGUGUAAGCGCAGCGAUGCGUUGAGCUAACCGAUACUAAUGAACCGUGAGGCUUAACC
This 2893-nucleotide ribosomal RNA is filed under the name Enterobacter cloacae. Its description in RNAcentral is "bacterial LSU rRNA". It matches the Rfam family "Bacterial large subunit ribosomal RNA". Lineage: Bacteria; Pseudomonadati; Pseudomonadota; Gammaproteobacteria; Enterobacterales; Enterobacteriaceae. The record is from RNAcentral.